Falco peregrinus (peregrine falcon) is the source of this 4336-nucleotide RNA transcript. It is a transcript of the gene named phosphatidylinositol-4-phosphate 5-kinase type 1 gamma, with no coding region annotated. The record is from RefSeq and is a predicted model, not a curated record. NCBI's taxonomy places the organism in Eukaryota, Metazoa, Chordata, Aves, Falconiformes, Falconidae. The transcript is spliced from 19 exons.
UCUAUGGUCCCCCCCGUUCCCAGUCUCCUCAGCGGCGGCGACCGGAGCCGGGAGCAGCGCGGCGGCGGCGGCGGGCGCGGGCCUGGGCUUGGGCCUGUCCUGCCCCGGGCCUGCCCUGCCCGCGGCCUUCGCGGCGGCCAUGGAGCUGGAGGUGCCCGAGGAGGCGGAAGGCUCGGCCGUGGCGGGUGCCGGUGCCAUCACCCCGGAGGCCGGCGUGGGGGGACUGGACGCGGCAGGAGGUCUGGCACCGAAGAAGGCAGCCAUCACCGAGGGACCAUCGUUACCAGGACAGCCUGGCCAAGGAAAGAAGAUAGGUCAUCGGGGUGUUGAUGCUUCUGGUGAAACCACCUACAAAAAGACCACCUCAUCCACUCUGAAGGGCGCCAUCCAGCUAGGGAUUGGAUAUACCGUCGGCAAUCUGAGCUCCAAGCCAGAGAGAGAUGUCCUGAUGCAGGACUUCUACGUGGUGGAGAGCAUUUUUUUCCCAAGCGAAGGAAGUAACCUCACCCCAGCUCACCAUUAUGCUGACUUCAGGUUCAAGACCUAUGCACCAGUGGCUUUUCGGUACUUCCGAGAACUCUUUGGGAUUCGUCCAGACGAUUAUUUGUACUCAUUAUGUAAUGAGCCUCUGAUAGAGCUGUCAAACCCUGGUGCCAGUGGUUCCCUCUUCUAUGUCACCAGCGAUGAUGAAUUCAUCAUAAAAACUGUGAUGCACAAGGAGGCUGAAUUCCUACAGAAGCUCCUUCCUGGCUACUACAUGAAUCUGAACCAGAACCCACGGACACUGCUGCCAAAGUUUUAUGGACUGUACUGUGUGCAAUCAGGGGGCAAAAACAUCCGUGUGGUUGUGAUGAACAACAUUCUGCCUCGCGUGGUGAAAAUGCACCUGAAAUUUGACCUGAAAGGCUCAACCUAUAAACGCCGGGCAUCCAAGAAGGAAAAAGAAAAGUCCAGCCCUACGUACAAGGAUCUAGAUUUCAUACAAGACAUGCCCGAGGGCCUGAUGUUGGAUGCAGAUACCUUCAGUGCAUUGGUGAAAACGUUGCAACGAGACUGUCUGGUGUUGGAAAGUUUUAAAAUCAUGGACUACAGCCUCCUGCUUGGGGUUCAUAACAUAGACCAGCAAGAACGGGAGCGGCAGUCUGAGGGAGCCCACAGCACGUCUGAUGAGAAGCGUCCUGUGGGGCAGAAGGCACUUUACUCCACGGCCAUGGAGUCCAUCCAGGGUGGGGCUGCCCGGGGGGAGUCCAUAGACACAGACGACACGAUGGGAGGGAUCCCAGCAGUGAACGGCAAAGGAGAGCGUCUCCUGCUGCACGUAGGAAUCAUAGAUAUCCUUCAGUCGUACAGGUUCAUCAAGAAGCUAGAACAUACCUGGAAGGCCCUGGUCCAUGACGGGGACACGGUGUCGGUACACAGACCCAGCUUUUAUGCAGAGAGGUUCUUCAAAUUCAUGACCAACACAGUGUUUCGAAAGAAUUCCUCUCUGAAGUCGUCUCCCUCCAAGAAAGGGCGCAGUGCCUUGCUAGCUGUCAAGACGGCUGGUCCCACAGCUGCAUUUUCAGCUAGCCAGCUUCCCUCCGAAAAGGACGAUACGCAGUAUGAUCUUCGUGCGGCCAGGAGUUACCCCACGCUGGAUGACGAAGGUGCUAAACUUAACCAGGACAGGGGAGAAGCAGGCAGGCCAGACCUGCUACCCUGCACACCUCCUUCCUUUGAAGAAGCUACCACAGCCUCCAUAGCCACAACACUAUCUUCGACAUCCCUCUCUGUUCCCGAGCGAUCCCCUUCGGAGACCUCUGAGCAGCCCAGGUACAGGAGGCGCACACACUCCUCAGGGCAGGAUGGCAGCCUUCGGGCUGUUCUUUUGGUUUCCAGGUCACACGAGGAGGUGCGGGUUGAGGAGGAGCUUCAGCAGAUCAGUGUCGAGCUGGAGCCCAAGUGUGACGUUGAGAUCGUAGCUCCUGAAGAUGACAAAGAAGAGGCGGCUUCUUCAGCCUGUGCCAUCGUAACAUCCACAGCUACAGUGGAGGUGGAGACAGCCAGCCAGGCCUCCGAACCAGCCAGCCAGGCCUCGGAUGAAGAUGACGUGCCAGUCACAGACAUAUACUUUUUCACAGAUGGGAGGUACUGGAUUUACUCUCCCCGCCAGCGCAGACUCCGAAGCACCUCGCUUUCCUCGGGGAUUGUAAGUGAACACGCUAGCACGUAGGGGAGCAGAGCUGCAGCUUUGAAACACUGGGACCAGCAUUCCCAUUUCCCUUGGCCGCUGUGGCUCUGUGUUGUGUGGCAUUAGGAACCAGCCCAGCAGAAACCAGAGAAGCAUAUCAAAAUCACACAAGUGGAUCUCCCUGUAGGAUCUGGCAGAAACACAUGCUCUGCCCAGCUUUUUCUGCACAGCUGCGGCCAUGGGAUGGGCUGCAAGAUCACCCAGCCCUUGGGACAAAUUUACAAGCACCAGACCCGGCCAAGGAGGCACCUGAGCCUUUGUAGAUAAUGUUACGCUCGGCUCCUUUGGCCCAGGAAGCCGGAUGGCGUUCCAAAGAGACCAUUAAGAUGUUUUGAAGCUGCUAAAAAUUCAGUUGCUAAUACAACCUUUUAGGCUUGUGGCUGGGAUGGUGAACAGCUCAUAAAACCAGAUAAGGUAGGAGUUGCUGUGGGGUUAGGGAUGGUUUCUGCUUUCCAGCCCAUCUGCUCUCCAAUAUCACCGAUGUGCUCCCUCCUCGCUGCAAGUUUUCUGUGAGUGGUGAGAGUUUUCCUUUCCAAAACAUGCAGGGAGGCAGUUGAGCAUUUAGGGACUGAAUCCAGAGCUCGGACUGUUCUGGGUUCUAGUAUUUCCCCUGUCAGGCUUCGGCAGAGCUGAUAUCCUCAGAGGGUAACGGCCAUGCUGUCAGACCCUCCACACAAGCAUCUUGGUGUGGUCUUCCCAGCACCUGCCGCUGUGGUACCAGGCAGGGAUGCAGGGGAGAGGGCAUCAGGCAGGGUGCAUGGGGAAGCAGGGGCAGUAACAUGCUGAUGGCAUGGGGAAAGUGCUGCAUCACUGUGGGCAAAUGCGCAAAAUCCACCCACCCCCCCCCAGUUCCUCCUGCCCCCUUGGCUGGGUUUGGCUGCCCCAGCGCCAGGAGGGUUAAUACCAAGCGGAUGCUCCUUUAUCUCCCUGCUGGGUUUGCAGCUCCUCGCAUGCAUCUGAGCUCCUAAAAGGCUCUGAAAGAGGCUGGCUGGAGCAUGUGGUUCAGUCAGGAUGGAUGAAAAACAGGAUGUGGGACAGACUUUAUGCCGUGUUGAGCUUUCCUGCACCUCGAGCAGAGCCCUGUAAGAAGCUCCAAGCAAGGGUUUCUUUUCCCUCCUUCCUCCCAGCGGUCUCUGCUAAUAUAGCUGCAAUUAUUGAUGGGGUUCAGCAUGCGGAGCCCAGUGCUUCAAAGCUCCUCUGGCUUCUUGUGUUUCCUUGUACCUCGAAGACUGUCACACUUGGUUCCCAGGUUGGGAACCCCCCCCAGGCUUCUUCCAAGUAGCUGGUUCCAUUUCUCUUCCUUUGCAAACCGCAGGCUGAGUCAAAGGGGGCUUUUUCUUCUCUGUGGGAGACAAAAGAGCCUGUUUGCAGUGGAAGUGGGUCCCCCUGGGAACACUGGAAGCAGCCACCAGCCCUUGAAUCUGCCCGGGCUGCUGUGUGCUGUGUCAGCAGCAGAAGCGUGUUUUGUCACACCAGUGCCCAGUGCUGCGGUAACCGGCUCCCUUAACGCACAUCCCCUUUCCCCUCAUUCUGUCCAAGGUCCGGUUGUGUUUUGCCUCCUUUGUGGUACUUGUUCCCAUCACCCCACUGUCUCCGAGACUGGUGAUAACUGUUUCCCUUCUGUGGCCACCAUCCACCAUGGUCUAACCCACCCAUUGCUGCCUUGCUUGGCCUGCAGGGAAGGGGGAAGGCACAGCAAACCAGGUCAGGUCUCACUGUAAAAAGCCCUCCUGGACACCAGAGAUACCUGCCUGUGGCACACACAGGGCUGGGGACACGGAGCUGGAGAGCUGGGAGUGGGUAGCAGGAGCCGAGAGCUCCGUCACUGCCCUUGGGUAAGUCACGUCCCAUGUCUCAGUUUCUCUGGAGCCAGGGUGAUGCUGCAGCAGGGAGCCGAGGCUUCCCUGGCAUCUCAAAAGCUCUAAAACUGUGUCCCUGCCAGAGGAGAGGUGGUGCCAUCCCCGCGGCAGCUGGAGCAGGGUCCGCUGGCAGCUGCUGGCAGGCUGCCCCGUGUCCCAGCUUGGUAGGGAGCAGCCGACAGACGAGAGGAGUUGGGUUUACUCCCCACUCCACUAUAGCGCUCAGCUCCACUCUGUCUCCGAUGAG